Molecule: ribosomal RNA, 253 nt
Filed under: uncultured bacterium
Lineage: Bacteria
Description: partial 16S ribosomal RNA
Rfam family: Bacterial small subunit ribosomal RNA
Source: RNAcentral
UACGUAGGGGCCUAGCGUUGUCCGGAUUUAUUGGGCGUAAAGGGCUCGUAGGUGGCCAACUAAGUCAGACGUGAAAUCCCUCAGCUUAACUGGGAAACUGCGUCUGAUACUGGAUGGCUUGAGAUUGGGAGAGGGAUGCGGAAUUCCAGGUGUAGCGGUGAAAUGCGUAGAUAUCUGGAGGAACACCGGUGGCGAAGGCGGCAUCCUGGACCAACACUGACACUGAGGAGCGAAAGCCAGGGGAGCGAAUGGG